RNAcentral lists this ribosomal RNA (227 nucleotides) under uncultured bacterium. RNAcentral describes it as "partial 16S ribosomal RNA". It matches the Rfam family "Bacterial small subunit ribosomal RNA", at positions 15 to 244 of the family's 1533-position model. The record is from RNAcentral.
GAUCAUGACUCAGAUUGAACGCUGGCUGCAGGCCUAACACAUGCAAGUCGAGCGGAUGAAGAGAGCUUGCUCUCUGAUUCAGCGGCGGACGGGUGAGUAAUGCCUAGGAAUCUGCCUGAUAGUGGGGGACAACGUUUCGAAAGGAACGCUAAUACCGCAUACGUCCUACGGGAGAAAGCAGGGGACCUUCGGGCCUUGCGCUAUCAGAUGAGCCUAGGUCGGAUUAG